AUCUAUAUAAUAUAUAAAGUAUAUUUGACUUCCAAUCAUAAAGACUACUAACUUAGUAGUGUAGAUA
RNAcentral lists this transfer RNA (67 nucleotides) under Dacus longicornis. RNAcentral's name for it is "tRNA-Gly". Lineage: Eukaryota; Metazoa; Arthropoda; Insecta; Diptera; Tephritidae. The record is from RNAcentral.